RNAcentral lists this ribosomal RNA (496 nucleotides) under uncultured bacterium. Its description in RNAcentral is "partial 16S ribosomal RNA". It matches the Rfam family "Bacterial small subunit ribosomal RNA", at positions 28 to 507 of the family's 1533-position model. The record is from RNAcentral.
GAUGAACGCUGGCGGCGUGCCUAAUACAUGCAAGUCGAGCGAACGGACGAGAAGCUUGCUCUCUGAUGUUAGCGGCGGACGGGUGAGUAACACGUGGAUAACCUACCUAUAAGACUGGGAUAACUUCGGGAAACCGGAGCUAAUACCGGAUAAUAUUUUGAACCGCAUGGUUCAAAAGUGAAAGACGGUCUUGCUGUCACUUAUAGAUGGAUCCGCGCUGCAUUAGCUAGUUGGUAAGGUAACGGCUUACCAAGGCAACGAUGCAUAGCCGACCUGAGAGGGUGAUCGGCCACACUGGAACUGAGACACGGUCCAGACUCCUACGGGAGGCAGCAGUAGGGAAUCUUCCGCAAUGGGCGAAAGCCUGACGGAUCAACGCCGCGUGAGUGAUGAAGGUCUUCGGAUCGUAAAACUCUGUUAUUAGGGAAGAACAUAUGUGUAAGUAACUGUGCACAUCUUGACGGUACCUAAUCAGAAAGCCACGGCUAACUACGUG